UUUACGUACGCGCACAUUUUUACGGAAGGCUCACUUCGUUUCCAAAUCGGACAGAAGUAGGUGUUGGGAUAUUAUGAACUUCAUCUAGAUUAUGAUUAUGGCUGCAAAACCAGGGAUACUCAGCAAGAUCACGCUACAGAUCUUGCUCGUCUUUAUGAUUUCGAACAGUUUGGGAUCCCCACUUCCCGUCCAGAUGGACAAAACGGACGGAAUCAUUGACCAAAGUUUCUUGAAAGGUUAAGUCCACCCAUUGUUUUAGACUUAUAUGAGUUAAUCUCCCCUAAUCGCACCUCUGUAAAAAAUCCAAUAAAAUUCUACUUAAAAUGGGUACAAAUUUUUUUCUUUAAAACGAUAUUAUUAGUUUGAUUUUUGUCCACCUGAAGGGUCGGAAAUCCCAAACGUUCAAUUUUGAAAAUCCAUUCCAAAGUAGUCCACCACUCGGAAUGAAACCUUUUUUCAAACUACACCAGGAUUUUGCAGCGACUUAUAUUUUUAAAUAAUCAAGCCAAAACUUAGGAAUCACAUGACACUUAUUUCUCUGUUCUAUGUAUGAAUAAAAAUUUUGGGGGCAUCGAUUACACUAUUUCAUCCCUAAAAGACGACAUAUUUACUAAAAAAAAUUGAACUUUGUCGCAAAUAUGUUUCUUCAAGGAGCCAUUCAACGGACAGGUAGGGGACAAGGGAUUCCUUAUCUUAGGCUCGAUUUUUUACAUAAUUCACUUAUGUAUAGCUUGUAAAAAUUUCAUUGUUACUAUCUCAACCCUAGCCGUGCUGCUAAAUUGUUCCCGAAAAAUUUACCAGGUCAAUAAAUAAUUCCAUUAAGCUUCAGAUUUCCCUCUUGACAAGGAAACAAGAUCCCGAAUGGUGGACUUCACCCGGAAAGUCCAGCACGGCCAGAUAGCGCCAGGGUCAAUUCUUACCGUGAAAACAAGAACCGGUCGACACACCCGUCCAACAUGACGCCGUUCAUCUUGUAUGGCGGGUGCAGCUCCAACUACGGAAGUAAUCCUUACGGCCAGAGAAGCAACAUUAUUACGCGAUAAGACGGUUGUAUCCCUUGUUAAGAAGCUUUUACACUGAAAAUCCAUUUGAAUAUUUAAUAAAUCUAUUUAUUUGCAUUGCUAAAUACUUAUGCUUCAUAUAAAUACGUCAGAGAUAUUGUAUAUUUGCACGCAGCUAAAUAAAUUAUACUUAACUACAUA
Folsomia candida is the source of this 1202-nucleotide long non-coding RNA. RefSeq lists it as uncharacterized. The transcript is spliced from 5 exons. Lineage: Eukaryota; Metazoa; Arthropoda; Collembola; Entomobryomorpha; Isotomidae. The record is from RefSeq and is a predicted model, not a curated record.